UACAGAGGCCUCGAGCGUUAGGCGGAAUCACUGGGCUUAAAGCGUGUGUAGGCGGACUUCUAAGUACCUUGUGAAAUCCCACGGCUUACCCGUGGAACGGCUGGGUAUACUGGGAGUCUUGAGCCACCUAGGGGCGAGUGGAACAAAUGGUGGAGCGGUGAAAUGCGUAGAUAUCAUUUGGAACGCCAAUGGUGAAAACAACUCGCUGGGGGUGUGCUGACGCUGAGGCACGAAAGCCAGGGGAGCAAACGGG
RNAcentral lists this ribosomal RNA (253 nucleotides) under uncultured bacterium. RNAcentral describes it as "partial 16S ribosomal RNA". It matches the Rfam family "Bacterial small subunit ribosomal RNA", at positions 524 to 776 of the family's 1533-position model. The record is from RNAcentral.